This 510-nucleotide ribosomal RNA is filed under the name uncultured Phialophora. RNAcentral's name for it is "eukaryotic LSU rRNA". It matches the Rfam family "Eukaryotic large subunit ribosomal RNA", at positions 89 to 601 of the family's 3401-position model. The record is from RNAcentral. Lineage: Eukaryota; Fungi; Ascomycota; Leotiomycetes.
GCGAGUGAAGCGGUAACAGCUCAAAUUUGAAAGCUAGCUCUUUUAGGGUUCGCAUUGUAAUUUGUAGAAGAUGCUUCGGGUGUGGCCCCGGUCUAAGUUCCUUGGAACAGGACGUCAUAGAGGGUGAGAAUCCCGUAUGUGACUGGGUGCUUUCGCUCAUGUGAAGCUCUUUCGACGAGUCGAGUUGUUUGGGAAUGCAGCUCAAAAUGGGUGGUAAAUUUCAUCUAAAGCUAAAUAUUGGCCAGAGACCGAUAGCGCACAAGUAGAGUGAUCGAAAGAUGAAAAGCACUUUGGAAAGAGAGUUAAACAGUACGUGAAAUUGUUGAAAGGGAAGCGCUUGCAACCAGACUUGCGCGCUGAUGAUCAUCCGGGCUUCUGCCCGGUGCACUCGUCUGCGCUCAGGCCAGCAUCGGUUUUGGUGGUGGGAUAAAGGCCUUGGGAAUGUAGCUUCUUUCGGGGAGUGUUAUAGCCCUCGGUGCAAUGCCGCCUACCGGGACCGAGGACCGCGCU